This is a long non-coding RNA of Manis pentadactyla (Chinese pangolin), 1424 nucleotides long. RefSeq lists it as uncharacterized. The transcript is spliced from 3 exons. Lineage: Eukaryota; Metazoa; Chordata; Mammalia; Pholidota; Manidae. The record is from RefSeq and is a predicted model, not a curated record.
GUAGGAACGGCCCUAGCUUUUGCACCAGCGUUGCCCGGCCGGCAAGCUAACGCCACAGCAGUCCUCCAUCCCGAAAGGUUCUAUUACUGACCCCCACUUCACUGGCGAAGAAACCGAGGCACAGAGAACCUAAGGAACCUCUCCCAUCCCACAGAUUAAAAGGUGCACACUACUGAAAGGAUGUAAAGCUUACUCCCUCCACUGAAGUCAUGAACCACUCGAAGUCAUCCAUACGGGAUUGAAUCUUCUUCCAAGUUCCUGUUAAUGUUGAUAUUUGACCUCUUCCCAUGAAUCAUGAAUGUUCUUAAUGGCAUCUAGAAUGAUGAGUCCCUUCCAAGGUUUUCAAUAUACUUUGCCCAUCUCCAGCACAGGAAUCACUGUCUAUGGCAACUAUAGCCUUAUGAAAUGAAUUUCUUAAAUAAUAAAACCAGAAAGUUGAAAUUACUUCCUGAUCCAUAGGCUGCAGAAUGGAUGCUGUAUUAACAGGCAUGAAAGCAACAUAAAUCUUGUUUUUCCUCUCCAUCAGAGCUCUUGCAUGACCAGUUGCACUGUCAGUGAGCAGUAAUAUUUUGAAGGAAAUCUUUUUUUCUGAGCAAUAGGUCUCAACAGCAGGCUUAAAACAUUCAGUAAAUCAUACUGUAAACAGAUGUGCUGCCAUCAAGGCUUUGUGGUUCCAUUUAUAAAGCAUAGGCAGAAUAGAUUUAGCAUAAUUUUAAGGGCCCUAGGAUAUCUGGAAUAAGUGAACAUUGGAUUCAGGGUUAAAGUCACAAGCUGCUUUAGCCCCUAACAAGAGUCAGCCUGUCCUUUGAGGCUUUGAAGUCUGGUACUGUCUUCUCUCUAGCUAUAAAAGUCUUAGAUGGCAUCUUCUUCCAAUACAAGGCUAGCUCAUUGACUUUGAGAAUCUGUUGUUUAGUAUAUCCUUAAUUAUCUUAGUGAGAUAUUCUGGGUACUUUGCUACAGUUUCUACUUCAGCGCUUGCUGCUUCAUCUGACACUUCUCUACAAUAGAGAUAUCUUUCCUUAUACUUCACGAACCAACCUCUGCUGGCUUCAGACUUUUCUUCUUCCACUUCCUCACCUCUCUCAGCCUCAACAGAAUCAAAGAGCAUCAGGAUCUCGCUCUGGCUUAGACUUUGGCUUGAGGGAAUGUUGUGGAUGGUUUGAUCUUCUAUCCAGACCAAAUAUUUUGCCCACAUCAGCAGUUAAGGUUAUUCCACUUUCUUGUUAUUUGUGUGUGCAUUGAAGCAGAACCUCUAAUUUCCUUCAAGAGCUCUUCCUGUGCACUCACAACGUGGCUGUUUGUCACAAGAGGCCCAACUUUUAGCCUCUUGCUAUUUGGACAUGCCCUCCUCACUGAGCUUAAUUAUUUCUAGCAUUCGAUUUUAAAUGAAUGAUGUGUGACUCUUCCUUUCACUUGAACACUGA